GUAGGUGGCAAGCGUUGUCCGGAAUUAUUGGGCGUAAAGCGCGCGCAGGCGGUUCUUUAAGUCUGAUGUGAAAGCCCACGGCUCAACCGUGAAGGGUCAUUGGAAACUGGAGAACUUGAGUACAGAAGAGGAAAGCGGAAUUCCACGUGUAGCGGUGAAAUGCGUAGAGAUGUGGAGGAACACCAGUGGCGAAGGCGGCUUUCUGGUCUGUAACUGACGCUGAGGCGCGAAAGCGUGGGGAGCAAACAGGAUUAGAUACCCUGGUAGUCCACGCCGUAAACGAUGAGUGCUAAGUGUUAGGGGGGUUUUCCGCCCCCCUUAGUGCUGCAGCUAACGCAUUAAGCACUCCGCCUGGGAGUACGGCCGCAAGGCUG
This 374-nucleotide ribosomal RNA is filed under the name uncultured organism. Its description in RNAcentral is "partial 16S ribosomal RNA". It matches the Rfam family "Bacterial small subunit ribosomal RNA", at positions 527 to 896 of the family's 1533-position model. The record is from RNAcentral.